GGGUCUAUAGCGCAGCCAGGUAGCGCACCGCCCUUUUAAGGCGGCUGUCGUGGGUUCGAAUCCCACUAGACCCGC
This 75-nucleotide transfer RNA is filed under the name Candidatus Nitrosopelagicus brevis. RNAcentral describes it as "tRNA-Lys(ttt)". It matches the Rfam family "tRNA". Rfam says of the family: Transfer RNA (tRNA) molecules are approximately 80 nucleotides in length. Their secondary structure includes four short double-helical elements and three loops (D, anti-codon, and T loops). Further hydrogen bonds mediate the characteristic L-shaped molecular structure. tRNAs have two regions of fundamental functional importance: the anti-codon, which is responsible for specific mRNA codon recognition, and the 3' end, to which the tRNAs corresponding amino acid is attached (by aminoacyl-tRNA synthetases). tRNAs cope with the degeneracy of the genetic code in two manners: having more than one tRNA (with a specific anti-codon) for a particular amino acid; and 'wobble' base-pairing, i.e. permitting non-standard base-pairing at the 3rd anti-codon position. The record is from RNAcentral. RNAcentral also lists the same sequence under 1 other name. Lineage: Archaea; Thermoproteati; Nitrososphaerota.